This 905-nucleotide long non-coding RNA is filed under the name Prunus persica (peach). RNAcentral's name for it is "long non-coding RNA (PPER_LNC004358)". The record is from RNAcentral. Lineage: Eukaryota; Viridiplantae; Streptophyta; Magnoliopsida; Rosales; Rosaceae.
GGUGAUUUGGGCUAGGCAAUCAAUGGUUCAGGCAAGAUGACUAGCAAAAGGGAAAUAUGAGAUGACUGAAAAAUUGGCGUUUGGGACCAAGUGGUAUAAACAUGAUAUGGGACAUGCGAGGUCUGCUUGUCCAAAUAUAUGAAUUAACAGGGUAGAUGAAGAGCAUACAUGCAUUAUUAUCAUUGAGACGAUAUUUGGUUGUGUGAUUGCAGUCACUUAAUAUAGUUAUAUCGAUUUAUUGUGGUAAGGUUUAUGUCCCUACGGAGUUGUAGUUUCGCUCACCCGUUCAUAGACCUUGCUGGUUUAAAACGAAAAAGACGGAUGGUAGGCGAGCUGAGGUUGAAUUAGAUGCGAGUUGGCAUAUGCUUUUUAUUUUUAUUUUUAUUUUUUUUUCUAGUACACUUGUAAGAUUUUGAAGCAACUUUAUAAGAGAAGUUUAUUUUAAACCAUGUUUCGGUCUUUCUAUUUUACUUUAUUUUCUCAUGACGCGAGAUUUCUUCCAACCACUAGGUCCGGGGUGUGACAGGAAACCAUAAAUUGGAAAAUUUAAUAAAGAAAUGAAGUAAUGGGAAUUAGCUCAACUAGUCCCUUUAGUUAACCUCAUCUCUGAUUUUGAGGGUAUUGAAUUAAGAAUACUGACGUGAAAUCUGUUGUGCAGAACACUCAAAAACCUUGUUUUCGAUAGACAAUACGACACAUACACAAAAAACUGCAAGAAGAAUAAACACACACAAGAACAUAGAUAAAGCAAACAUACAAGAACACAAAGAUUUGUAAGAGGUUUGGCACCGUGCAUAUGUCCUCUUUAGUGACUCUCUUGAGAAAUAUCACUAGAAGAAUAGGAAUAACUUUGGUAACAAUGAAGAACCCCCUCUAUUCUUUCAAACCCUAGGUCUUAAUUUCUC